GCCAAGUUUGGAUUAAUUUGGCCCGGUAGUUUCAGAGGAGAAGAUUUUUGUAAAAUAUUACUAAGAUUUACGAAAAAUGGUUAAAAAUUGACUAUAAAGGGCAAAAACUCCUAAAGGGGUCAACUGACCAUUUCAGUCAUGUUGACUUAUUUGUAAAUCUUACUUUGCUGAACAUUAUUGCUGUUUACUGUUUAUCUCUAUCUAUAAUAAUAUUCAAGAUAAUAACCAAAAACAGCAAAAUUUCCUUAAAAUUACUAAUUCAGGGGCAGCAACCCAACAAAGGGUUAUCCGAUUCAUCUGAAAAUUUCAGGGCAGAUAGAUCUUCACCUGUUUAACAAUUCUACCCCGUGUCAGAUUUGCUCUAAAU
This 367-nucleotide long non-coding RNA is filed under the name Mytilus galloprovincialis (Mediterranean mussel). Lineage: Eukaryota; Metazoa; Mollusca; Bivalvia; Mytilida; Mytilidae. The record is from RNAcentral.